This 148-nucleotide non-coding RNA is filed under the name Homo sapiens (human). Lineage: Eukaryota; Metazoa; Chordata; Mammalia; Primates; Hominidae. The record is from Rfam by way of RNAcentral.
GCCAGGCGUGGCGGCGCAUGCCUGUAAUCCCAGCUACUUGGGAGGCUGAGGCAGGAGAAUUGCUUGAGCCUGGGAGGCGGAGGUUGCAGUGAGCUGAGAUGGCGCCACUGCACUCCAGCCUGGGCGACAGAGCAAGACUCUGGCUUAA